Molecule: long non-coding RNA, 576 nt
Organism: Pieris brassicae (large cabbage white)
Lineage: Eukaryota; Metazoa; Arthropoda; Insecta; Lepidoptera; Pieridae
Exons: 3
Source: RefSeq, a predicted model, not a curated record
AGGAAAAAUUCGCUUAGCGUGACUUACCUCGUACUCGCAUGUUGUUCGGCUUUCGGUAUUUUGCACCGAGGCUGUGCAAUGGUGGGGAGUGUGGGAUCGAGGUCCUGAGAUGCUGUGUAUCUAAAGCCCUUUGAAGAGCAUACUGGCUGGUGCAGGAAAUCGCUUAAUAUUUAACAAACAAGUCAAGGACGGGGGCUUACGCAAAGCAGAACAGAAAUGGGUCAUGGGGCCUCGUUUUUCCCUCAGGAGGUGGGGUAGGGGGUCAUGAAACUAGGUGAUCUCCCGGUUGGCCUGCGGGCUACGGGCUACGAGACCGAUGCAUACUUCCAACGUAGCUACGAGCUAAAUUAAAAAUAACAGUUUUUACAUACAGCACUAUAAGUGCUUACAUCAAAUUGUCAUUUAUAAAAGCUUCAUGGAACCCUUUAAUAGGCUUCCGUGAAGCUUUGAAAUUAACCUUUUCCAAUAGACGAUAUCUAUUGUAAAAAAAUUGCACUUAUUUUCCGAAAUAUUUUUUACUUUAUUAUUGUAUUCCUAACAAUAAGCUAAAAAUUAUUUCGAAUAUUCAGCAUUAAU